UUUCUCCCUGGCUUCGUUAUGGUGUCAGAUCAACAUUCCAAACCUCCUUCUGGACAGCGGUUGAGCCUGUGAAAAAAAGUGAUUAAAACGAGAGGCAGCAGGCACCGGGCUCGCGGACUCUGGGUCCCGGGAACACCCACGCGGCUUCAAGAAGAGGGAGCGAGUCUGGAAACCGAAACCGGCCCUGGGCGCACAGACGAUGGCCUCGGGGCUUGCUCGUCCCGCCCGCUGGCCGCAGGUGCGCGAGCACCCCCACCCACCCCUGGGCGAUCUCAGCCCGGGGACCGCCCCCCCGACCCCCAGUCUCCUGUCGG
Molecule: long non-coding RNA, 314 nt
Filed under: Equus asinus (donkey)
Lineage: Eukaryota; Metazoa; Chordata; Mammalia; Perissodactyla; Equidae
Description: lncRNA (ENSEASG00005026730.1)
Source: RNAcentral